RNAcentral lists this unclassified non-coding RNA (253 nucleotides) under uncultured Nocardioidaceae bacterium. RNAcentral's name for it is "contains 16S-23S intergenic spacer region". It matches the Rfam family "Bacterial small subunit ribosomal RNA", at positions 524 to 776 of the family's 1533-position model. The record is from RNAcentral. Lineage: Bacteria; Bacillati; Actinomycetota; Actinomycetes; Propionibacteriales; Nocardioidaceae.
UACGUAGGGUCCGAGCGUUGUCCGGAAUUAUUGGGCGUAAAGGGCUCGUAGGCGGUUUGUCGCGUCGGGAGUGAAAUCACCGGGCUUAACUCGGUGCUUGCUUUCGAUACGGGCAGACUAGAGGCAUUCAGGGGAGAACGGAAUUCCUGGUGUAGCGGUGAAAUGCGCAGAUAUCAGGAGGAACACCGGUGGCGAAGGCGGUUCUCUGGGAAUGUCCUGACGCUGAGGAGCGAAAGUGUGGGGAGCGAACAGG